GUGGGAAAAAAAAAAUUAGGAAAUAAAUAUAUACAAAUAAAAUAAUAAAUUAAAAAGUAAAAUAAUUAGUAAAUAAUAUAAGAACAAAAGAUCAAGUAAAAUAAAUAUUAAUGGUAGAGAAAGAAGUGAAAAAAGAAACAAGGUCUAAAGAGGAGAUUAUAGAAAGCAUAUUAAAAUUACAGAAUGAAAUAUCAGGUAGGUUUUAAAAAUAUACAACAGAAAUAAUAUACAAACAAAUAAGUAAUUUAAUAUAUAAAAACAAAUUU
Molecule: long non-coding RNA, 266 nt
Filed under: Cryptosporidium parvum
Lineage: Eukaryota; Apicomplexa; Conoidasida; Eucoccidiorida; Cryptosporidiidae
Source: RNAcentral